RNAcentral lists this ribosomal RNA (490 nucleotides) under uncultured bacterium. RNAcentral describes it as "partial 16S ribosomal RNA". It matches the Rfam family "Bacterial small subunit ribosomal RNA", at positions 29 to 507 of the family's 1533-position model. The record is from RNAcentral.
AGUGAACGCUGGCGGCAGGCCUAACACAUGCAAGUCGAACGGCAGCACAAGAGAGCUUGCUCUCUGGGUGGCGAGUGGCGGACGGGUGAGGAAUGCAUCGGAAUCUGCCCAUUUGUGGGGGAUAACCUCGGGAAACCGGGACUAAUACCGCAUACGACCUACGGGUGAAAGCAGGGGAUCUUCGGACCUUGCGCAGAUGGAUGAGCCGAUGCCGGAUUAGCUAGUUGGAGGGGUAAAGGCCCACCAAGGCGACGAUCCGUAGCUGGUCUGAGAGGAUGAUCCGCCACACUGGGACUGAGACACGGCCCAGACUCCUACGGGAGGCAGCAGUGGGGAAUAUUGGACAAUGGGCGCAAGCCUGAUCCAGCCAUGCCGCGUGUGUGAAGAAGGCCUUCGGGUUGUAAAGCACUUUUGUUGGGAAAGAAAAGCAGCCGGUUAAUACCCGGUUGUCAUGACGGUACCCAAAGAAUAAGCACCGGCUAACUUCGUG